UUCGCAAUGCCCGAAAGGGUGACGAAGCGACGCCGCGUGGGUGAGGAAGGCCUUCGGGUUGUAAAGCCCUGUCAGGAGGUAAGAAAUAUAAGUGCGCUAAUAUCGCAUUUAUUUGACGAAGGCUCCAAAGGAAGCCACGGCUAACUCUGUGCCAGCAGCCGCGGUAAUACAGAGGUGGCAAGCGUUGUUCGGAAUUAUUGGGCGUAAAGAGCACGUAGGUGGGUUUGUAAGUCAGAUGUGAAAGCCUUCUGUUCAACGGAAGAAUUGCAUCUGAAACUACAAGUCUUGAGUGUAGGAGGGGAGAAUGGAACUUCUGGUGGAGCGGUGAAAUGCGUAGAUAUCAGAAGGAACGCCGGCGGCGAAAGCGAUUCUCUGGCCUAUUACUGACACUCAGUGUGCGAAAGCUAGGGGAGCAAACGGGAUUAGAUACCCCGGUAGUCCUAGCUGUAAACGAUGGGCACUAAGUAGAGGGGUUUU
This 477-nucleotide ribosomal RNA is filed under the name Candidatus Scalindua brodae. RNAcentral describes it as "bacterial SSU rRNA". It matches the Rfam family "Bacterial small subunit ribosomal RNA", at positions 365 to 832 of the family's 1533-position model. The record is from RNAcentral. Lineage: Bacteria; Pseudomonadati; Planctomycetota; Candidatus Brocadiia; Candidatus Brocadiales; Candidatus Scalinduaceae.